AGUCGGACGGGAUUGAGGAGCUUGCUUCUCAUGAGAGUGGCGCACGGGUGCGUAACACGUAUGUAACCUACCUUGUUCAGGGGGAUAGCCUCUCGAAAGAGAGAUUAACACCGCAUAAAAUCAAUUUAUGGCAUCAUAGAAUGAUCAAAUAUUUAUAGGAACAAGAUGGGCAUGCGGAACAUUAGCUAGUUGGUAAGGUAACGGCUUACCAAGGCUACGAUGUUUAGGGGAUCUGAGAGGAUGACCCCCCACACUGGUACUGAGACACGGACCAGACUCCUACGGGAGGCAGCAGUAAGGAAUAUUGGUCAAUGGACGCAAGUCUGAACCAGCCAUGCCGCGUGCAGGAAGACGGCCCUACGGGUUGUAAACUGCUUUUGUACCGGAAUAAACCUUUUCACGUGUGAGAAGCUGAAUGUACGGUAAGAAUAAGGAUCGGCUAACUCCGUGCCAGCAGCCGCGGUAAUACGGAGGAUCCAAGCGUUAUCCGGAUUUAUUGGGUUUAAAGGGUGCGUAGGUGGCCUAUUAAGUCAGGGGUGAAAGACGGUAGCUUAACUAUCGCAGUGCCUUUGAUACUGAUGGGCUUGAAUACACUUGAGGUAGGCGGAAUGUGACAAGUAGCGGUGAAAUGCAUAGAUAUGUCACAGAACACCAAUUGCGAAGGCAGCUUACUAAAGUGUUAUUGACACUGAGGCACGAAAGCGUGGGGAUCAAACAGGAUUAGAUACCCUGGUAGUCCACGCCCUAAACGAUGAAUACUCGAUGUUGGCGAUAUACGGUCAGCGUCUAAGCGAAAGCGUUAAGUAUUCCACCUGGGGAGUACGCCCGCAAGGGUGAAACUCAAAGG
RNAcentral lists this ribosomal RNA (847 nucleotides) under uncultured bacterium. RNAcentral describes it as "bacterial SSU rRNA". It matches the Rfam family "Bacterial small subunit ribosomal RNA", at positions 60 to 907 of the family's 1533-position model. The record is from RNAcentral.